CGCAUGCAAAUUACUCUACCUCCUUGCCUGCCAGCCAAAAAUGGCUAACCUCCAAGGACACAGUAAUACGAUUAUGCUAAUACCAUUGACUUUGUUGAUGAGGGGGGCCAGUGUG
Molecule: non-coding RNA, 115 nt
Organism: Caenorhabditis elegans
Lineage: Eukaryota; Metazoa; Nematoda; Chromadorea; Rhabditida; Rhabditidae
Source: Ensembl